This 208-nucleotide ribosomal RNA is filed under the name uncultured bacterium. RNAcentral describes it as "partial 16S ribosomal RNA". It matches the Rfam family "Bacterial small subunit ribosomal RNA", at positions 1293 to 1500 of the family's 1533-position model. The record is from RNAcentral.
UCGGAUUGUACUCUGCAACCCGAGUACAUGAAGCUGGAAUCGCUAGUAAUCGCGAAUCAGAAUGUCGCGGUGAAUACGUUCCCGGGUCUUGUACACACCGCCCGUCACACCAUGGGAGAUGGAUAUGCCCAAAGUCAGUGACCUAACCGCAAGGGAGGAGCUGCCUAAGGUGGAGCCAUUAACUGGGGUGAAGUCGUAACAAGGUACC